UGGCUACAUCACGUUGAAAUACCGGUUCCCGUAAGAUUACCGAAGUUAAGCAAACUAGAGACUGGUCCCUACCUAGAUGGGUGAUAGUUUGGGAAUACCAGGUGAUGUAAG
This is a non-coding RNA of Acanthosepion pharaonis, 111 nucleotides long. The record is from the annotation of a GenBank genome assembly. NCBI's taxonomy places the organism in Eukaryota, Metazoa, Mollusca, Cephalopoda, Sepiida, Sepiidae.